This 710-nucleotide long non-coding RNA is filed under the name Brassica napus (rape). RNAcentral describes it as "long non-coding RNA (BNAP_LNC025783)". The record is from RNAcentral. Lineage: Eukaryota; Viridiplantae; Streptophyta; Magnoliopsida; Brassicales; Brassicaceae.
GAGCAAGAGUCUGCCGAUUGUUGGAAUUGUGUGAGCCCAUGUCCAACUCUAUAUUGUCCGAUUAAUACGAUAUUAUCCACUUUGGGCCUUUGGCAAGCCUGCAUGGUUUUACUUUUGGUUUCCUUUCCAAAAGGCCUCGUACUAUUAGAGUUGGACAUCUCUUUAUAUAUUAGACACUCCUUGUCUAAUUAUCCAAUGUGGGACUUGGAUUGACAUCUCUCAUUCUCCCCCUCAAACUAAGGACCAUACACCUUAUGCCCUUUCCUCUCGCGAAUCAUCUCGGUGCCUUGUCGCAUCUUCUACAUUCGACACCCGUAGUCGCAAGGUUUACUUUGAGUGGCUUUGAGGAUGUUCUUACAAUUCUAGGAUCUUCUAACUAUGCUGAACCUCUCUUUCCACCUUGAAGGGUCACAUUCCUACUCGAAAGGUAUUUUGGUCUUUUGCAGAUUUCUCAUCAACCUGGCUUUGAUACCAAUUGAAGUUGCACAAACACAAAGAUUAUAAGAACUUUUCUUCUUAUUAGAUUUAGAAACUAUCUCAAAAACUAAACUUUUCAAUGUGUUUCUCUUGAUGGAACAUCUCUCCAUGAGAACUCUUUAUAUAGGAAGAAACUACAUCUUUUCUUAAGGGCGAAACUACAUUUUUUUCUAAUAUAAUAUGAAAACAUUCCUAAGCUCGAUAUGUUUUCUUUUUUCCUUAACCCAUCAAAC